Molecule: ribosomal RNA, 253 nt
Filed under: uncultured bacterium
Lineage: Bacteria
Description: partial 16S ribosomal RNA
Rfam family: Bacterial small subunit ribosomal RNA
Source: RNAcentral
UACGUAGGGGGCAAGCGUUGUCCGGAAUCAUUGGGCGUAAAGAGCGUGUAGGCGGCUUGGUAAGUCCGCUGUGAAAGUCCAGGGCUCAACCCUGGAAUGCCGGUGGAAACUGUCAGGCUCGAGUCCGGAAGAGGAGAAUGGAAUUCCCGGUGUAGCGGUGAAAUGCGCAGAUAUCGGGAAGAACACCCGUGGCGAAGGCGGUUCUCUGGGACGGUACUGACGCUGAGACGCGAAAGCGUGGGGAGCGAACAGG